AAAAGGGAAUACUUUCAUAGUUGCCUUAAAUUUGAAGAGGAUUACAAUGAAACUAGAAGGGAUUUUGUUAGUGGUUCUGCUAGCUGUACUAAAUCAUUCGGUUAAUGGCUUUAAUACAAAGAAAUGUAAUGCUCCAGCCCCCAUUGAUGGAAAGUGUGGAGGUAAAGUUCACAUAGCAUGGACAUUUUACAAGCAAGUAUGCUGGCAAUUCAAAUAUUCGGGCUGUGUUAAAAAUAAAGAAAACGUAUUUGACUCACUGGCCGAAUGUGAGAAAGCUUGCUAUUAAAGAGCUCUUUAUAAGCUAAAAA
Long non-coding RNA from Drosophila subpulchrella, 308 nucleotides. RefSeq lists it as uncharacterized. Lineage: Eukaryota; Metazoa; Arthropoda; Insecta; Diptera; Drosophilidae. The record is from RefSeq and is a predicted model, not a curated record. The transcript is spliced from 2 exons.